GUCAGACAGGGCAGACUACCUCUGUCAUUCAACAGGUAAGGCCCAACAACAAUAUGACCUCAACCACCUUAUUAAUGAAGCAGUACAACUGAUUUGUGAAAGAAAAUGCAUUAGUCGUACACAUCAGACCAUGUUUAUGGUAGCAAUGUAGCAAUUACCUAUGUUAUUAAUUGAUCUAAUGUAAAACAAUUCAUUAAACUGAGAAAUGACAUGACCAUAAUCAGCAGAGUACCUUGUGAGCCACAACUCUGCAUGCCUUGUAUAAUGUUAUAACUGCAUUACAACAAAUGCUUUAGAAAUGAGUUGAUUGCUUUGUACUCUCUUUGAUUGAGCCUCUAUAGUAGCUCUAUAACUAAUAUAUCUGAAUCUACAGUCCGUCUAAUCACCCCUUUUUAUUCAGACGGCAACAAGAGGAGGUAUCAGAUUAAGAGAAAAAUAGUUGAGGACAAAGCAGCCUUGACAGCUGCUAUUGUUCAACUUCACGAGCAGCAGGCAGAGUUUAGGCUCCCCACAGUGGAUGAGCUGCUCAACACUGACAACUUUGUGUGGCCAUGGGAGAGACUUGGCACCAGUAUAUGAUUGCAGAAGGUAUCUAUUGUGAAUAUUUACCUUCAGCGUAGGCUGCAAUCAUUGCUGUUGUUCUGUUAUAUAUCUCUGUGAGUUUACAUCUCACAGGCAACAGCCAUCUCAAAAAGGCGAUCUUCGACAGACUGAUGAUGGUGAACAGACUGCAGGAGGAAGAGAGGAUCCUGGUGCAGGAGAUGAAAAGUUACUGGGGUAGCCUACAAAGACCAACGGAACCCUAGAGGCACUCUCCCUACAGCUGCAAGAUCAGAGCAAUGCAGUGGAGUUGUCAGAGGGAGUGAGGAAUGGCCUUCUCUGCCACCUGACGAGAAGAUUGAGUGAACUGACACAAUACCAAGACAACACCUACCACAAGCUGAUUUUGAUGACUGAUGUAGAUGAAAACUCAGAUGAAGAUAGAAGUCCUAUUGCUGAGAGCUCAGAUGACGACUGCUAUGCUUUCUGAAAUCAUACACCGCCCCUGCCUCUUUCUCUCGGUCUCGCUCUCUCCCGCAGGAGAGGGAGAAAACCACCAACAUCUCCCUCGGGAGCAGCCUGCCACCAUCUCCCUCGGGAGCAGCCGAGAAAUAAUAUGGCGACAUCAUCAGCAACUCAGAAUGUUGGUUGAGGACCUUUUUACUGAGGAAUGUGGAUGUUCUUCAUUAUAUUUUUUUUGUAUUUUCUAUGCUGCCAUGAUUGUGAUUUUUGUGUAAUUGUAAGUUGCAAAAGAGUCCUUGUUCUCAAU
This 1309-nucleotide long non-coding RNA is filed under the name Oncorhynchus kisutch (coho salmon). RNAcentral describes it as "lncRNA (ENSOKIG00005046889.1)". Lineage: Eukaryota; Metazoa; Chordata; Actinopteri; Salmoniformes; Salmonidae. The record is from RNAcentral.